Molecule: ribosomal RNA, 491 nt
Filed under: uncultured bacterium
Lineage: Bacteria
Description: partial 16S ribosomal RNA
Rfam family: Bacterial small subunit ribosomal RNA
Source: RNAcentral
AGUGAACGCUGGCGGUAGGCCUAACACAUGCAAGUCGAACGGCAGCACAGUAAGAGCUUGCUCUUACGGGUGGCGAGUGGCGGACGGGUGAGGAAUACAUCGGAAUCUACUUUUUCGUGGGGGAUAACGUAGGGAAACUUACGCUAAUACCGCAUACGACCUACGGGUGAAAGCAGGGGAUCUUCGGACCUUGCGCGAUUGAAUGCGCCGAUGUCGGAUUAGCUAGUUGGCGGGGUAAAGGCCCACCAAGGCGACGAUCCGUAGCUGGUCUGAGAGGAUGAUCAGCCACACUGGAACUGAGACACGUUCCAGACUCCUACGGGAGGCAGCAGUGGGGAAUAUUGGACAAUGGGCGCAAGCCUGAGCCAGCCAUACCGCGGGGGUGAAGAAGGCCUGCGGGUUGUAAAGCCCUUUUGUUGGGAAAGAAAAGCAGCAGGUUAAGACCCCGCUGUUCGGACGGGACCCAAAGAAGAAGCACCGGCUAACUGCGU